This 434-nucleotide ribosomal RNA is filed under the name uncultured bacterium. RNAcentral describes it as "partial 16S ribosomal RNA". It matches the Rfam family "Bacterial small subunit ribosomal RNA", at positions 27 to 507 of the family's 1533-position model. The record is from RNAcentral.
GAACGAACGCUGGCGGCAUGCCUAACCCAUGCAAGUCGAACGAGACCUUCGGGUCUAGUGGCGCCCGGGUGCGUAACGCGUGGGAACCUGCCCUUAGGUUCGGAAUAACUCCCCGAAAGGGGUGCUAAUACCGGAUAAUGUCUUCGGACCAAAGAUUUAUCGCCUUUGGAUGGGCCCGCGUUGGAUUAGCUAGUUGGUAGGGUAAAAGCCUACCAAGGCGACGAUCCAUAGCUGGUCUGAGAGGAUGAUCAGCCACACUGGGACUGAGACACGGCCCAGACUCCUACGGGAGGCAGCAGUGGGGAAUAUUGGACAAUGGGCGAAAGCCUGAUCCAGCAAUGCCGCGUGAGUGAUGAAGGCCUUAGGGUUGUAAAGCUCUUUUACCCGGGAUGAUAAUGACAGUACCGGGAGAAUAAGCUCCGGCUAACUCCGUG